AUACGGAGGGUGCAAGCGUUACUCGGAAUCACGGGGCGUAAAGCGCGCGCAGGCGGGCUGAUAAGUUGGAUGUGAAAGCCUACGGCUCAACCGUAGAACUGCAUCCAAAACUGUCAGUCUAGAGUGUGGGAGAGGAAGAUGGAAUUAGUUGUGUAGGGGUAAAAUCCGUAGAGAUAACUAGGAAUACCAAAAGCGAAGGCAAUCUUCUGGAACACUACUGACGCUGAGGCGCGAAGGCGUGGGGAGCAAACAGGAUUAGAUACCCCAGUAGUCC
Molecule: ribosomal RNA, 274 nt
Filed under: uncultured bacterium
Lineage: Bacteria
Description: partial 16S ribosomal RNA
Rfam family: Bacterial small subunit ribosomal RNA
Source: RNAcentral